This 482-nucleotide ribosomal RNA is filed under the name uncultured bacterium. RNAcentral's name for it is "bacterial SSU rRNA". It matches the Rfam family "Bacterial small subunit ribosomal RNA", at positions 30 to 530 of the family's 1533-position model. The record is from RNAcentral.
AUUGAACGCUGGCGGCAGGCCUAACACAUGCAAGUCGAGCGGUAGAGAGGUGCUUGCAUCUCUUGAGAGCGGCGGACGGGUGAGUAAUGCCUAGGAAUCUGCCUGGUGGUGGGGGAUAACGUUCGGAAACGGACGCUAAUACCGCAUACGUCCUACGGGAGAAAGCGGGGGAUCUUCGGACCUCGCGCCAUUAGAUGAGCCUAGGUCGGAUUAGCUAGUUGGUGAGGUAAUGGCUCACCAAGGCGACGAUCCGUAACUGGUCUGAGAGGAUGAUCAGUCACACUGGAACUGAGACACGGCCCAGACUCCUACGGGAGGCAGCAGUGGGGAAUAUUGGACAAUGGGCGAAAGCCUGAUCCAGCAAUGCCGCGUGAGUGAUGAAGGCCUUAGGGUUGUAAAGCUCUUUACCCGGGAUGAUAAUGACAGUACCGGGAGAAUAAGACUCCGGCUAACUCCGUGCCAGCAGCCGCGGUAAAGUGACU